This 76-nucleotide transfer RNA is filed under the name Acidobacteriota bacterium. RNAcentral describes it as "tRNA-Met". It matches the Rfam family "tRNA". From Rfam's summary of the family: Transfer RNA (tRNA) molecules are approximately 80 nucleotides in length. Their secondary structure includes four short double-helical elements and three loops (D, anti-codon, and T loops). Further hydrogen bonds mediate the characteristic L-shaped molecular structure. tRNAs have two regions of fundamental functional importance: the anti-codon, which is responsible for specific mRNA codon recognition, and the 3' end, to which the tRNAs corresponding amino acid is attached (by aminoacyl-tRNA synthetases). tRNAs cope with the degeneracy of the genetic code in two manners: having more than one tRNA (with a specific anti-codon) for a particular amino acid; and 'wobble' base-pairing, i.e. permitting non-standard base-pairing at the 3rd anti-codon position. Lineage: Bacteria; Pseudomonadati; Acidobacteriota. The record is from RNAcentral. RNAcentral also lists the same sequence under 1 other name.
CGCGGGAAUAGAGCAACGGUGGCUCGCUGGUUUCAUACGCCACAACCGGCAGGUUCAACUCCUGCUCCCGCAACCA